This 409-nucleotide ribosomal RNA is filed under the name Fusobacteriota bacterium. RNAcentral's name for it is "Fusobacteria bacterium partial 16S ribosomal RNA". It matches the Rfam family "Bacterial small subunit ribosomal RNA", at positions 355 to 776 of the family's 1533-position model. Lineage: Bacteria; Fusobacteriati; Fusobacteriota. The record is from RNAcentral.
UGGGGAAUAUUGCACAAUGGAGGGAACUCUGAUGCAGCAACGCCGCGUGCGGGAUAACGGCCUUCGGGAUGUAAACCGCUUUCAGCCAUGACGAAGCUUUUGUGACGGUAGUGGUAGAAGAAGCACCGGCUAACUACGUGCCAGCAGCCGCGGUGAUACGUAGGGUGCGAGCGUUGUCCGGAAUUAUUGGGCGUAAAGAGCUUGUAGGCGGUUUGUCGCGUCGAUAGUGUAAACACGCAGCUUAACUGUGUGCCUGCUGUCGAUACGGGCUGACUAGAGGAGGGUAGGGGAGAAUGGAAUUCCCGGUGGAGCGGUGGAAUGCGCAGAUAUCGGGAGGAACACCAGUGGCGAAGGCGGUUCUCUGGACCUUUCCUGACGCUGAGAAGCGAAAGCGUGGGUAGCAAACAGG